Small nucleolar RNA from Vicia villosa (hairy vetch), 107 nucleotides. NCBI's taxonomy places the organism in Eukaryota, Viridiplantae, Streptophyta, Magnoliopsida, Fabales, Fabaceae. The record is from RefSeq and is a predicted model, not a curated record.
AUGCCAUGGUGAGGGCAUUGCCUAUGUAACUCCUUAAAUCUUUCCCAAGCAUCGAAAAGUGAUUUGUCAUAUCCUUGCCUAAAUGAGGUAAUUUCAUUUCUCAUGUU